RNAcentral lists this ribosomal RNA (255 nucleotides) under uncultured bacterium. RNAcentral describes it as "partial 16S ribosomal RNA". It matches the Rfam family "Bacterial small subunit ribosomal RNA", at positions 524 to 777 of the family's 1533-position model. The record is from RNAcentral.
UACGAAGGGGGCUAGCGUUGCUCGGAAUGACUGGGCGUAAAGGGCGCGUAGGCGGCUUGCACCGUCAGAUGUGAAAUUCCUGGGCUUAACCUGGGGGCUGCAUUUGAUACGUGUGGGCUUGAGUGCGGAAGAGGGUCGUGGAAUUCCCAGUGUAGAGGUGAAAUUCGUAGAUAUUGGGGAAGAACACCCGUGGCGAAAGCGGCUCUCUGGAACGGUACUGACGCUGAGACGCGAAAGCGUGGGGAGCGAACGAGG